RNAcentral lists this transfer RNA (77 nucleotides) under Candidatus Kaiserbacteria bacterium. RNAcentral describes it as "tRNA-Met". It matches the Rfam family "tRNA". From Rfam's summary of the family: Transfer RNA (tRNA) molecules are approximately 80 nucleotides in length. Their secondary structure includes four short double-helical elements and three loops (D, anti-codon, and T loops). Further hydrogen bonds mediate the characteristic L-shaped molecular structure. tRNAs have two regions of fundamental functional importance: the anti-codon, which is responsible for specific mRNA codon recognition, and the 3' end, to which the tRNAs corresponding amino acid is attached (by aminoacyl-tRNA synthetases). tRNAs cope with the degeneracy of the genetic code in two manners: having more than one tRNA (with a specific anti-codon) for a particular amino acid; and 'wobble' base-pairing, i.e. permitting non-standard base-pairing at the 3rd anti-codon position. Lineage: Bacteria; Candidatus Kaiseribacteriota. The record is from RNAcentral.
AGCGGGGUAGAGCAGUCAGGUAGCUCGCCAGGCUCAUAACCUGGAGGUCAUUGGUUCAAAUCCAAUCCCCGCUACCA